AUAUGUGAGGCUGAUCUGGCUGCUGUACCUGUGAGUCCGUCAAUUGAUAGGGCUGAUCUGGCUGAUCUGAAGGGUGAGCGUCUCCUUCAUCUGGUCCUCAUUAAGCUGUGGGCAGCCCUCCAAAAGCUGAAUGCUCUUUCAAAAGAGGAUGCCCUUCCCAGAUAGGAAGGGCUAUUCUUUGGUCAAAAGUAUACAGGUGCUAUACUGAUGAUGUGAAAAAACAGCUUUUGGGCUCCUCUGCCGACAUUGUUCCAUAAGCUUUUCUUAAAUUCUGGAGUGUUCAAGGCAUGAUCUAGGUCUAU
Molecule: unclassified non-coding RNA, 302 nt
Organism: Saimiri boliviensis boliviensis (Bolivian squirrel monkey)
Lineage: Eukaryota; Metazoa; Chordata; Mammalia; Primates; Cebidae
Gene: 7SK
Rfam family: 7SK RNA
About the family: 7SK was discovered as an abundant small nuclear RNA in the mid-70s but a possible function has only recently been suggested. Two independent studies have found that 7SK RNA binds the CDK9/cyclin T complex (known as elongation factor P-TEFb). P-TEFb activates transcription by phosphorylating the C-terminal domain of RNA polymerase II.
Source: Ensembl